GUCUCCGCUUCCUUCCCGUGGCUUCUAGAGUCUUCUAGAUGUAAGAUAAUUGCGCGGCACGUUGAUAUCUCUAUGUAAUCCCGACGUGUGGGCCUUUCCUUCAUAUUUCCUGCUAACCCCCUACAGAAAUAGACAAACACCAAAACUCGUGGAAUUCUGUCAGAUAAAACCCUAAGUUUAGAUGUUGGUUGUAUUUGGAUCCUUUUCUUUAUUUAUUUGAUGAUUAUAUUUGGUACUUAAGGACCGUCAACAACUCCCCCAAGCUUACCUCUUGCUCGUCCCUGAGCAAGGAUGGACUCAAGAGUUUUUGCAGUGGUUUUAUGCCUUAAAGGUACACAUGCGUUUAAAUAAGAUCUUAUCUCUAGGUUAGGGUAAACUGUUAAGAUUUAAAACUUACUCAUAUUACCUUCCACCAUGGGGCUUGCAACCGUCACUUGUGUCUUGAACAGUUAAAAGAUAGAACGGUCAAGUCCAGCACCAUGUCUCUUGUUCUUUGAUCAACUAUAGCUCUGGAGUUUUGCAGAAUUUCAAAUAAAACUCAGAGAUUCCUUGUAUGACACUCUCUAGUCUCUCUUUUGUGGUAUUUCUGGAUUCUUACCAAGGCAGUGAUAAUAUACGCCUUCUCUCAAAGUAUGUAGUAUUUGUGGUAUGUGGCAUAGUGAUAUUGCCUUCUCUCUCACCCUACUCUAAUAAGGUUUGAUAUCUGGAGCUCAUAGGUGGGAGACAGCUAAUACAUACUUACAAGACAUUUAUUGCAUGGUGACGAUGGUGAUAAUGGUGAAAAAAAUGGUGAAAGUCUAAUUCUACUUUUGCUCUUUUGAGGGGAUACAUACCUUUCUUGCACUUUGAAGGUUUUUGAGAUGAAUGAGAUGCCCUAUAUUUUAUUUUUCUUUUCUCUCAUGUGGGUAUCUUGUACCCCUAAUUCUACUGUCGGACACUUGUCCAUUUUUACCUCUCGUCUCACUUUUUCUUUUUCUUAGAGGUUCCGGGCACUUGCACCUUUUAUUUCCUCGUAUUCACUUUUUUCCUCUUUUUUUUCAGAGCACUCACCCUCCUGGAAUAAUGUAGCAAGUGGUAGUAACUAAAAUAUCUUGAGCAUUUAUUUCACGGGGAAUAACAGGGAUAGGAUAAUAUUUUUGGCUAUUCUCUCCUGGAUAGGAGUAGAAUAAUUUUGGGUAAAUCUGGAGAUGGAAAGGAGUGGAUGUAUAUGGAUGCGUACUUCCGGAGUAGAAGUAGCAUGUAUGAGUGAACGUGCAAGUGAAUCUUGAUUUUAACCGUAUGACAAGCUCCUAAGGGUCUACACAGCUUGACCACACUCAAUGCUCAUAAGCAGAAAAAAGUAAAUGUAUGGUUUAUAGUCCAAUAAGCAUGUAUAUAUGGCUAUGGUAGGAUUUUAAACUCUCAUCAUACAGGAACUCAUCAUGCAACAUUUUAAAGAUUUUCAAAGAUAAAAUUCUCCAGAAUUCUAGCAUCUCCAGGAACAGAUAAACAGCAGCUCAACCUUCCCAUAUCAUAUCCAUUAACGACUUAGACUUUAGAUCAAGUACUCUUCCCACAAGUUCAGGUUUAGGGAAAAUCUUAAUUCAUAACAGUCAUGCCUAAACUUGAGAGAGAUUUCAAUUUUGACUAGUCAUGGCAGAGCAACUAUUCAUUAUUUCCAUGUGAGAGCUUAUCAUGAGGGUCCAUAGCAAACUUUAUUUAUUUAUUUAUUUAGCAAACUAAGCAAAGAUAUAUAUAUAAGUAUAAACUCUUUAUUUGGGUUUUUUAUGAUUAUGCAUUUUUUUAUUAUUUGAGUAAAGUAUAAACGCGAGUAGAAACACUUAGCUGGGUAGAUGGGGGUGCUCUCCCCCUAGCUGGAUUUUGACGUAAUUUCUUUUGAUGUAGCUAGCAGGUGGUGGAGGUGUAUUUGAAUGUCGGCAGCACCCUGAUAGCGAUUAGGAUGUCCUCCGUCUGCUAGUCUUCUUUGAUCUUAAAUUAUGUGGAGCUCAAAUAGACAACAAAGCUUUGUGGAACUAGUUAAGUGUUAGCAUAAAUAUCUAGCCUCUAUCAUAUUGAGCUUCCUCUAAUAGAUAUUACUCUCUUUGGUAGGAUCAUAAAUUUAUUUCUAUAUUUUCAUUUCUAUACGACAGAAAUAUAUUUAUUUAAUUUUUACGCCACCACAGUGAAUGUACUUAUGGGUUUUAUGCCCCGAGCAUACUCACAUGGGGCUUACUAUUUUAAACAUUUUUAUUUUCUUUUCAAGAUAGCAUGAUUAACUAACAAGCCAUUUAAGGUAAGUAAGUAACUAAAUGGAAAAGGGAAUGCAGAAGGGAUAAAUAUGGAUAACUACCGAUUUUACCUUUCGGCGAGGGUUCAAUGUUUUAAGUCUUCUGAACAAGACUUCUCAUCGUGUUCAUUCUUUAGGUGUGUCAUUUGAUUCAGGUGUGGACCUUGACGUCUGCAUCUCUUGAUACGGUGUCACCCAUGUUCUUCGUUUGCCCAGCAGUUCGAAGUGCGGCGUUGGCAGUAUCUUGCUUAGUGUGUUUGUGCUCGUAGAUCCAAGUCCUUCACUUGGUAGAGUCUGGGAGUUGAAAAACUCCACCAUGCUUUGCUCGAAGUGUACCUGCUCGUAGAGACAAGGCAGAGAUCAAGUGCAUGGGUCCUGUUGGUGGAAAAUACCAACAGAACCAAAAGUGUAUUUGCUCUUCUCUAACCUUAACCAUAGUGAGCAAGACAAAUUUGAUGGAUAGUAAGAUCAUGAGUGUAGCAUUUAAAACAUUUGCCAGAUCAGAUCGCUCAACCUAAUGGAAAGAUAGUCUAUCUAUAUAUAUGUCUUUUUCUUUAUAUCUUCCCAAAGAUUGAAUGUGCAACAUUUUAGCUCAUAUGGCUGGGAGUGUGGGGAUCAAAGAUUAAGGUACUAAACAUACUGAAUCAGUGGGGUUGGUUAAUUUGUAGUUAUAAAUCAUACAUGUUUGUCUCUUUUAUUCAUACGAAUGCCAGAACCAAUGAGAAGCUUAUAAAAGUGAUAGUCAAGUACCUUAAGGUGUUACCUUAAUUGAAGAGUGAUGGUACAGUCUCACCUUGUGGAAGCUUUCCUUUCUUAGCGGUUGUGCAUCGUGUUUGUGGCACCCUCCAUGGAUCAUCUCUUAUGAGCUACGUCUUCCUUGUGUAAAUUGUUAAAUUUGAUGUGUCUCUCUCUUUGUCUCCAAUGUGAGUUUAUCUCAGGACUUCCCAAAUCAAUAUUGAAAGUUUUCCUGCAGGGGUUAGUCCAACAAAAUAUCCAAUAUCUACUAUAGCAUACUAUCGGCUUAAAAAUCAACCUAGACACCAUGUCUAAUUUGAUUUAGGAGGGCAUUUUAACCUAAGCACCAUGCUUAAUUUAAAAUCCCUUGGAAGUGAGAUCAUCCUUCCUAACUAAGCACCAUGCUUAAUUAAGAGACAAAUGAAACUACUCCAAACCUAGACAUAUACUAAAGCAAAUAAAGGUAGAAUGAGAGCAUUUAUAGAGAUCUACUCAAGUGGAGAUGAAGUAGUGUGAUUAGUAUUUAACAAAUUGAGCAUGUCUCAAAGGUAGGGACAACCAACAUAGCAACAUUGCAAAGGAUGUUUUUAUGUAAAGUACUCCCCCAUGCUUGAAUUUUGAAAAAUUCAAGUUUGGAUGAAUUUAAUUCAGUGUUGCAUGAUGAUUGGUUGGACAUACCAUGUGCUUGCUUGUCAUUCAUCCGAUCUUCUUGUUCCAAUCUUGGAAAGGUUAGUGACAAGAAUAGCAGAAGGAAUAUUUUUACAAUUAUCCUUAUAUGCUCAAUACACAAGGUAAUGUUGUAAAUAAUUAAAAGCUCAGGUUACGAUCUGAUCAGUGCUUAUUUUAGGACACUAAGCUUGUCCCUGGGAAACCAUCAAUUUAUGUCAGUGAAGUGGUUUCCCUUCCAACGCUGACUUAUAUCAAGAUCAACUCAACGAGAUCUACAAUAUUUAUUAUAGACAUAUGCAUCGACAACCGCACUUUUAAAGUUUUUAUAAAUAGAAAGGAAGAGGGGGUUGGAGAUCUCAAAUGUGGUGAUGUUGGAGAGACCAAUAGAUUGGGAAGAUGUUGCAUAUGAGCAUGGAGUAAACGAAGUGGCUUGAAAUAAAUUCUAUGCUCAUUAAUGUUAUCUUCGUCUCCAAUCUGAAUGUUCGGAGUUUCUUCUGGAUUGGUCUCACUUAUGUCCUCUUCUAUAGUUGGAUGAAUCCCAUUUUCAAAGGGAGUCAAGAACUCACCAUUUGAAAUUGAGCCAAAGUCAGAAUCCAUUAAGGCUUCUUCCUUAUCCAUCCAUUCUACACAUUCUAGCCAUUUGGAACUUGUGAUAAGGAAAGGGGAGCUGAUAGAAUUUUCUAUAUGGCUUAGCUCUCCUUCACUUGAUAUGUCAUCCUCGACUUCUUCAUAAAAGGAACCAGGACAUUCUCUAAGAGAAACAUUAUUGCAAGGAUUUGAAUUAUCCCUGCUUGAAGGUCUCUUAUGGAACCAGAAGUCUAAACCAUCCGUAUCUAGAAGAUUUAAGGUCGGAAUUCCUUCCUCCCUUAGAGAAUUUUGGGGUAUUGAUGGUUUAGGAUCGACAGCUAAAGUUUGGGAUUGAAGUGGUUGUGAUCUGGCUAUCGAAACUUCUUCUUCUUGUCUAGGAACUGGUUCUUUCUCUUUCUCAGGGAUAUAAAAGCUAGGAGACUUUCCGCUUAAUAAAUCAAUCAGAUUCCAAGCUUCACUAGCAGAUAGGUGAUAGAAGGAUCCUCUAGAGGCUGUAUUCAAGGUUUGCUUAUUUUCCCCACUAAGGCCCUCAAAAAGUGAAUUAGAAGAACUUCUUUUGGAAUAGAAAGCUUUGGGCCAGUGAGAGUAAGGUUAAUAAAGCGGUCCCAUGAUUUGCUAAGAGAUUCUUCUUCCAGUUGUCUAAAAUAAAUAAUCUCACGCCGAAGUUCCGCCACUUUGGAGAUUGGAAAAUAUUUAAAAAGAAAACUAUUGUAUAACUCCUUCCAAUCUCCAUGAACACUCCCUACUUUGAGUUUAUACCAAUGUCUAGCUUUUCCUAUUAAAGAGAAUGGAAAGCGCUUCCAUUUAAGGGUCUCAUCGGACAUGCCUUCUAUGCGAAGGAGGUCACAGACUCGAUAAAACUCUCUUAGGUGUGUGUAUGGGUUUUCCUCACCUUCUCCUGAGAAAGGUUGUUUUUGAACAAAUUCUAUGUAUUCGGGGUCUAUCUCAAAACUAGAUGCUAUGAUAGCCUUUGAAGAUUUUGGUGGUUCGAGAUGUGUACCCGUAGGUCUAUGGAAUUCAUAGAUAGACAUGUUUGAAUUCAUGAUAGACCAGAGAUCAAGGAUUAGAUAAGAAGAAAGAAUAGCAGAGAUGAGGCAAAGGAUAAAAGGAAAAUAUAUAUAUAUAUAUUUAUUUUUUUAUAUUUUUUUAUAUUUUUUAGAAAAUGAUUAAGCUAGUUCGUAGUCAACUCAACAAUCGUUUCCCCGGCAACGGCGCCAAAAAUGAUUGUUGACACUUGCUAACACCACUUGAAUACUAGGUUGUCAUCCCCAGCAUGGCACUAGAGUGUACUAUGGUAUUUAUACGCACACAGAUAAUCCGCAAGCGCACGGAUACCGUUGAAGCUUUUACCCGGUUAAAGAUUUUAUCGUAUCCACAGGGAAACGGGAGAACUGAUCUACGCUCUAACUUAACCAAGAUAAGUAAAUAGAUGUAAAUAGGAAAGAUGGUAGAAUCGAAUAAGAACAAUAUUAAAGGUAAGAUAAAAGUGAGUGAUAAUAUGGGAAUAGAGAGUAGAGCAAUUCUAGUAUAUGGGCGAUGGUAGCAGAAUAGAGAGGAUAACUAUGGUUUCUCUACUUCAAAGGGGUAUGUCUAUGUCUGGGACGAACCACGUGAUAAGAUUACACCACAAAGGAUGCUUAUCCAUAGGCCGAUAAACCCUACCCGUCCUGCUAACGAGAGGUGGACUACAGAGGACCAACGUAACUGUCACCUACGCGGCCUACCACACGAUCCAGCUAAACAGGGGAUAUCGACAAGUAAUCUAGGUCUAAGCACCACGCUUACACCUAUACUACAACUCUAACAUAUAGGGUCCUACAGAUUAGAAGUACUCAAAAGAGUUGUGAACCAGAACAUACAUGAUUAGUAAUUGCAUAAUGAAUUAGAAGUAGAUUACCGGACUCAUCCCAUGAGCAAGCUUGAUUAGAGCUUGAUCAUGACAAAGUACAACCGGAGGAAGAACCAACAGGCCGGCCUCUCCUCUAAUCCUCCUUCGCUCUCCAUCUCGCUACUAUCUAGAUCUACUCUAGUUUAGAGAAGAGAGGAGAGCUCUCAUCUCUAAACCCUAGCUUUUGCUCUGUCUAUGAAUAAUGAAUAAUGAAUAAUGAUCAAGGGGUGCCUCCUCCAGGGGCCAGGACGUCUGGUUAUAUAGUCCCCUCAAGUGAACCUGGGCCGUCAGAUCAAACCAACAUUGAUUGAACGCUUAUUCUUGAUCCUUGAGGUCGGUGGAGCAUAAUCCGCGAGAUUGAGCGUGAUUGGCCGAAAUAGGUGGGCAGGCGCCCUAAGGACUUGCGCGGGCGCCCUGUCCCUGACUCCGUUCGGUCUCCGCUUCCUUCCCGUGGCUUCUGGAGUCUUCUAGAUGUAAGAUAAUUGCGCGGCACGUUGAUAUCUCUAUGUAAUCCCGACGUGUGGGCCUUUCCUUCAUAUUUCCUGAUAACCCCCUGCAAAAAUAGACAAACACCAAACCUCGUGGAAUUCUGUCAGAUAAAACCCUAAGUUUAGAUGUUGGUUGUAUUUGGAUCCUUUUCUUUAUUUAUUUGAUGAUUAUAUUUGGUACUUAAGGACCGUCAACAACUACAAGAAUAUUUCCUAAGUCAUUCUAACUAUACAGUUUUAGCAUAUUAUGAUUAGUGCAA
Molecule: long non-coding RNA, 6894 nt
Filed under: Sorghum bicolor (sorghum)
Lineage: Eukaryota; Viridiplantae; Streptophyta; Magnoliopsida; Poales; Poaceae
Description: long non-coding RNA (SBIC_LNC016125)
Source: RNAcentral